CGAACUGUGCAAACGUUAUUCGGAAUCACUGGGCUUACAGGGUGCGUAGGCGGCUUGUUAAGUAGGGUGUGAAAGCCCCCGGCUCAACCGGGGAAUGGCGCCCUAAACUGGCGAGCUGGAGUGAGAUAGGGGUGUGCGGAACUUCCGGUGGAGCGGUGAAAUGUGUUGAUAUCGGAAGGAACGCCGGUGGCGAAAGCGGCACACUGGAUCUCAACUGACGCUGAGGCACGAAAGCCAGGGGAGCGAACGGGAUUAGAUACCCCGGUAGUCCUGGCUGUAACCGAUGAGCACUAGCUGGGAGGGACGUAGGUCCUUCCCAACGGAGCGAAAGUGUUAAGUGCUCCGCCUGGGGAGUAUGGUCGCAAGGCUG
This 370-nucleotide ribosomal RNA is filed under the name uncultured organism. Its description in RNAcentral is "bacterial SSU rRNA". It matches the Rfam family "Bacterial small subunit ribosomal RNA", at positions 526 to 896 of the family's 1533-position model. The record is from RNAcentral.